UUGGAUGAGGAAGGCACCUGCCCUAGACACACUGUGAGUCAUGCACGAGAGGGAGCGAGCAGGCUGGAUACAUACUAGUGCAGUCCACGCCCGAUGUCAUGUCAGCCUAGGGAAGCGGAUUCAUUUAGUAGUCACGUAGCGCAUUAAGAAGUUGACCGCGGAGUGAGUCCGCAAGCAAGAUUCUCACUCAAAUUAACGGGGGGGGGCACAAGCAAGCGAGCAUGGAGUUUAAUUAGUAGCAUGCAGAAGAACAUUCCCAGGCUACCCCAUACAAUGCACUUUCGAAGCAGAGAUGCGUUCGUUGCUAAACAGAGAAACAGGACACAGAUGGUGCUUGUCAGUUGUCAUCUUGAGUUGUGAGAUUAAGUCCUAAAUCGAGCACAAACCGCAUCCUUAGUUUCCAGCAGGUCAGAAAGGGCACUCUAAAGAGACUGCCGGUGACAAACCGGAGGAAGGUGGGGAUGACGUCAAGUCAUCAUGGCCCUUACGGCUAGGGCUUCACACGUCAUACAAUGGUGCAUACAGAGGGUUGCCAAGCCGCGAGGUGGAGCUAAUCCCACAAAACCCAUCGUAGUCCGGAUCGCAGUCUGCAACUCGACUGCGUGAAGUUGGAAUCGCUAGUAAUCGCGAAUCAGCAUGUCGCGGUGAAUACGUUCCCGGGCCUUGUACACACCGCCCGUCACACCAUGGGAGUGGGUUGCACCAGAAGUAGUUAGUCUAACCUUAAGGAGGACGGUUACCACGGCAGGAUUCAUGACUGGGGUGAGGUCGUAACAAGGUAGCCGUAUGGGAACGUGCGGCUGGAUCACCUCUCUU
RNAcentral lists this ribosomal RNA (816 nucleotides) under uncultured bacterium. RNAcentral's name for it is "bacterial SSU rRNA". It matches the Rfam family "Bacterial small subunit ribosomal RNA", at positions 708 to 1533 of the family's 1533-position model. The record is from RNAcentral.